CUAGCUCAUAUGCUAAGAUUAACAAUUGUAAUCCACGAUAACCGUAUAACAGAAACAAUACGAGUAUUUAUACUUCCUUUACUAUCUCACACGUGUCUCCACUUUAUUUGUUAACCACCACUUCACUCUUCCUUUCCCGUCACUCCUCUCCCUUCUUCACUUCCUUCUGCUUCAACCUUCUCCUCUCAUAAGUAUGCUUGAACCUAUCACUUUUAUCCCGAGACUGUUUGCUGAUGUCAGGAGAAAUUGCCUUAACCUUUCAGCUGCCUCUUCCAUUGAUGCUCUUAGGUUUCUGCUGACUGAGAAAAGUCAAUUCAAAGAAGAGUUUCAAAUCAAUGACAAGAUAAUGGUGCCCAAAGAGUCGAUUAGUUUAUACAGCUUACCCUAUUCCAACACAUAACACAGUAUCAAUAGUUCCAGCAAUCUCCAUCACAAGGAAAACAAUCAAACAGAGUGAUCGAACACAUAACACAGUACCAAUGAUUCCAGAAAUCUCUAACCCUAACCAUUCUUCAAUCCAUCAGAAAGAUAAUCACAAGAAAACAAUCAAACAGAGUGAUCGAACAUUCCAACACAUAACACAGUACCAAUGAUUCCAGAAAUCUCUAACCCUAAUUAUUCUUCAAUCCAUCAGAAAGAGAAUCACAAGAAAACAAUCGAACAUUCCAACACAUAACACAGUACCGAUGAUUCCAGAAAUCUCUAACCCUAACCAUUCUUCAAUCCAUCAGAAAGAGAAUCACAAGAAAACAAUCGACAUUCUUACUCAAAUCGAAGCACCGGAGGAAAUUCGAAGACGGCACUGGAGUGGAACUCGAAGACGGCACUAGAGUGAAAUGCGACGACGGCACCGGAGAGAAAUUCGAUGCCGGUUCGAAGCCGGCACCGGAGAGAAUACCGACGACGGAACCGGAGAGAAACCGUCGAUUGCUGGGUUGCGUUUUGCGAACGAUUUGGUGAUGGACUUGGGCCUUUUCAAUAUUUUGGGUUAAUGUUUAUAUAUUUCCGUUCCGUAGAGAGCCCUGCAUUUUCCCGAAAGGCCCACGAAAUGAAUGGGCCGGGCUAGAAGUUACAACUUAUGCAAUCAAAUCUUUUUUUUUUUGUUCAAAAUGCAAUCAAAUCUAUAUGUUAAACAAAAAACAAAUAAAUCUAUAUGCUCAAAGAUAUUUUACCAUUGAUUUAUUAUUUAUGGAAAAAAUUACCUACAAAUACGAUAACUUUUAAAAAACAUAUA
Molecule: long non-coding RNA, 1234 nt
Filed under: Brassica rapa (field mustard)
Lineage: Eukaryota; Viridiplantae; Streptophyta; Magnoliopsida; Brassicales; Brassicaceae
Description: long non-coding RNA (BRAP_LNC007517)
Source: RNAcentral